GAAAGUAAGCAAGGGCAGACGGUGGAUGCCUUGGCUCUCGGAGGCGACGAAGGACGUGAUAAGCUGCGAAAAGCCCGGGGGAGGCGCAAAUAGCCCUUGAUCCCGGGAUAUCCGAAUGGGGCAACCCGGCAGGCUGAAGGCCUGUCAUCCCGUAAGGGAGGCGAACGUGGGGAACUGAAACAUCUAAGUACCCAUAGGAGGAGAAAAUAAACAAUGAUUCCGUAAGUAGUGGCGAGCGAACACGGAAGAGCCCAAACCCAUGUCGUCUAGGCGACACGGGGGUUGUAGGACCACGACGUGGCAAGAUAGAGUCAAGUGGAACGCCUUGGAAAAGGCGGUCAUAGAGGGUGAAAACCCCGUACACGACUGACGAUUGAAGCCUAGUGGCAUCCUGAGUAGCGCGGGGCACGAGAAAUCUUGCGUGAAUUAGCGGGGCCCAUCCCGUAAGGCUAAAUACUCCCGAGAGACCGAUAGCGAACCAGUACCGUGAGGGAAAGGUGAAAAGAACCCCGAGCAGGGGAGUGAAAUAGACCCUGAACCCGUCUGCCUACAAGCGGUCGGAGCGUCGUAAUGACGUGACGGCGUGCCUUUUGCAUAAUGAACCUACGAGUUACCUUCCCCGGCAAGGUUAAGUACCUAAGGUACGGAGCCGAAGCGAAAGCGAGUCUGAACAGGGCGCCAAGUCGGGGGGGGUAGACGCGAAACCGAGUGAUCUACCCUUGGCCAGGUUGAAGGUUGGGUAACACCAACUGGAGGACCGGAUGGGUAAGCGUUGAAAAGCUUUCCAAUGAGCUGAGGGUAGGGGUGAAAGGCUAAUCAAACUCGGAGAUAGCUCGUACUCCCCGAAAUGCAUUUAGGUGCAGCCUCUUUAUAGUAUAUCGUGAGGUAGAGCGACUGAUUGGAUGCGAGGGCUUCACCGCCUAUCAAGUCCAGAUAAACUCCGAAUGCGCGAUAUAUAUUUAAAGGGAGUGAGGGCGCGGGUGCUAAGGUCCGUGUCCGAGAGGAGAAGAAUCCAGACCACCGGCUAAGGCCCCCAAAUGAUCGUUAAGUUGAACUAACGAGGUCGGAUCGCAGAGACAGCUAGGAUGUUGGCUUGGAAGCAGCCAUUCAUUUAAAGAGUGCGUAACAGCUCACUAGUCGAGCGAUCUGGCGUGGAUAAUAAUCGGGCAUAAACGAUCUGCCGAAGCCGUGGAUGUCGCAAGACAUGGUAGGGGAGCAUUCCAUGCCGCGUCGAAGAUGAGGGAUGACCCUUGUUGGAGCGCAUGGAAAAGCAAAUGUAGGUAUGAGUAACGAUAAGGGGGGCGAGAAACCCCCCCGCCGAAAGACCAAGGUUUCCUGAUCAACGCUAAUCGGAUCAGGGUGAGUCGGGACCUAAGGCAAAGCCGAACGGCGCCGCCGAUGGAAGAAUGGGUUAAUAUUCCCAUACUGCCUCAUGGAGUGACGUGGAGACGGAGAAGUGACAGUCCUGCCGGCUGACGGAAUAGCCGGUUGAAGGGUGUAGAUAUUGAUUCCCGUAGGCAAAUCCGCGGGGAGAGUCGAACCUGAGAGUAUACGGAGCGCUUGCGCAACGUAAUAUGGACGUAACCAUGCUCCCGAGAAAAUCCGCUAAACUUAUCCAUGCGGCACCCGUACCGUAAACGGACACACGUGGUCGGGUUGAGAAUACUGAGGCGCUCGAGUGAUUCACGGUUAAGGAACUAGGCAAAUUGACCCUGUAACUUCGGGAUAAAGGGUCCUCGUCGUAAGGCGAGGCGCAGAGAAUAGGUCCAGGCAACUGUUUAACAAAAACACAUGGCUGUGCUAAAUGGAAACAUGAUGUAUACAGCCUGACACCUGCCCGGUGCCGGAAGGUUAAGAGGAGAUGUCAUCCGCGAGGAGAAGCGUUGAAUUGAAGCCCCGGUAAACGGCGGCCGUAACUAUAACGGUCCUAAGGUAGCGAAAUUCCUUGUCGGGUAAGUUC
This 1960-nucleotide ribosomal RNA is filed under the name human gut metagenome. RNAcentral describes it as "bacterial LSU rRNA". It matches the Rfam family "Bacterial large subunit ribosomal RNA", at positions 1 to 1983 of the family's 2925-position model. The record is from RNAcentral.